RNAcentral lists this non-coding RNA (31 nucleotides) under Mus musculus (house mouse). Lineage: Eukaryota; Metazoa; Chordata; Mammalia; Rodentia; Muridae. The record is from RNAcentral.
CAGAGGUGAAGGUUGCUGAUACUGCCCAUAG